This 464-nucleotide ribosomal RNA is filed under the name uncultured bacterium. RNAcentral describes it as "partial 16S ribosomal RNA". It matches the Rfam family "Bacterial small subunit ribosomal RNA", at positions 331 to 793 of the family's 1533-position model. The record is from RNAcentral.
CCAGACUCCUACGGGAGGCAGCAGUGAGGAAUAUUGGUCAAUGGGCGGGAGUCUGAACCAGCCAAGCCGCGUGAGGGAAGAAGGUACGGCGUAUCGUAAACCUCUUUUGUCAGGGAACAAAGGCGGGGACUAGUCCCCGGAUGAGGGUACCUGAAGAAAAAGCAUCGGCUAACUCCGUGCCAGCAGCCGCGGUAAUACGGAGGAUGCGAGCGUUAUCCGGAUUUAUUGGGUUUAAAGGGUGCGUAGGCGGAAUGCCAAGUCAGCGGUAAAAUCGCGGGGCUCAACCUCGCUCCGCCGUUGAAACUGGCGUUCUUGAGUGGGCGAGAAGUAUGCGGAAUUCCUAGUGUAGCGGUGAAAUGCGUAGAUAUUAGGAGGAACACCAGUGGCGAAGGCGACUUUCUGGACUGUACCUGACGCUGAGGCGCGAAAGCGUGGGUAGCGAACGGGAUUAGAUACCCCUGUAC